Non-coding RNA from Schistosoma rodhaini, 45 nucleotides. NCBI's taxonomy places the organism in Eukaryota, Metazoa, Platyhelminthes, Trematoda, Strigeidida, Schistosomatidae. The record is from Rfam.
AUCCAGUUGAUGAGUCCCAAAUAAGACGAAACGCGCAUCCUGGAU